GUGGUCUUCCACCUGCUUACAAACACACCGCCCACCUCCUUCAUUCUAUUAGCAGGCUCAUUGUCUCAUCUCUCUCUCUCUCUCUCUCUCUCUCUCUCUCUCUCUCUCUCUUAUAUAUAAAUUUCCAUCCUCAUUACCCUUAUUCUCUAACUCUCUCUCUCUCCCUUCUCCCUUUACACCCAUCCUUCAUUCUUCAAUGCAGAUCCGCAUCAACUUAGUUGGUGACUGAUAUUCCAGCAACAACUGGGACAAACUUCGGGCAAGAAAUUGUGUGUUAUGAGAGUCCACGACCAACGGUCGGCAUUCAUCGAUAUGUUUUCGUACUGUUUCAACAACUGGGGAGGCAGACGGUGUACGCUCCGGGAUGGCGCCAAAAUUUCAACACUAGAGACUUCGCGGAGCUCUACAAUUUGGGGUUACCGGUUGCUGCUGUUUACUACAACUGCCAGAGGGAGAGAGGCUCAGGAGGGAGGAGAUGAAGAUGCAAAGCCCUCCCUAGAGUUGCUGAAAAACUGAGUAAUUCCCUUAAUACUAGCUUGGUUCUCUGACUCGUGGAUCUCCUCCACUACAAUUAAAUAUGCCAAUAAAAGUCAUCGUCAACCUUAUUUACUGCAUAUGACAUAAAGCCCAUGAUGUAUAAGAUGCAUGGGUUUAUUAAUAGGGUGUGUUAUGGCAUAUAUAGCACAAGCCUGUAUCGCCCACCAUAUUUAAAAUCUACAGAUGAGAUUGAUUAUCGUAGUGCGUGACACAUAUAUUGUAAUCCUAAGCCUAUGGGUCUGAUUGUAUACGGCGAUAUAUAGUUUGCCUCGCUUCACUAUCA
Malania oleifera is the source of this 820-nucleotide long non-coding RNA. RefSeq lists it as uncharacterized. NCBI's taxonomy places the organism in Eukaryota, Viridiplantae, Streptophyta, Magnoliopsida, Santalales, Ximeniaceae. The transcript is spliced from 3 exons. The record is from RefSeq and is a predicted model, not a curated record.